This 96-nucleotide transfer RNA is filed under the name Phytohabitans rumicis. RNAcentral's name for it is "tRNA-Pro". Lineage: Bacteria; Bacillati; Actinomycetota; Actinomycetes; Micromonosporales; Micromonosporaceae. The record is from RNAcentral.
GCCGGGCCUGGCGGACCUGCUCGGCGCGGGUGCCGCGGGCGGGCUGGGCGCCGCCAUUUUGGCGCUCGGCGGCCGGUGCGAGUCCGGCAUCGGGCU